UGACGAGAAGAUCUUCAUUAAAAAAUGGUCUGACACAUGUAAAAACAUAAAUAAGAAAUAUUAUUUAUGAAAAACACAUACCACGUAUAGAACGAAAACUAAUAAUAUUAUACAUGCAGGGUGUUUAAUUAAAACAAAAAUUAAACGUUAUCCCAAAAGAUUCUUUCAGAAGGUCCAAUAAUAUCAAUAACCUUUUCCUCAUUGUUGGUCAUUGGUGGAUCAUCAACAAUAUCCAAUUGAUGAUUAACAAAGUUUGUUUAUACCUCUAUUACUUUGUUCUUUUGAGACUCCUGGAAUAAAUUAACCAGAUGCCUCGGCGUACGCCAGGUACGCGACCAAUGCCCUUUCAUCCCACACCUAAAACAAACAUCUGGUUUGUUCUUUAUCGGUG
RNAcentral lists this long non-coding RNA (391 nucleotides) under Panax ginseng (ginseng). RNAcentral describes it as "long non-coding RNA (PGIN_LNC018253)". Lineage: Eukaryota; Viridiplantae; Streptophyta; Magnoliopsida; Apiales; Araliaceae. The record is from RNAcentral.